AACGAACGCUGGCGGCAGGCCUAAAACAUGCAAGUCGAACGAACCGCAAGGUUAGUGGCGCACGGGUGAGUAACACGUGGGAAUGUGCCUCUGGGUACGGAACAACGUCGGGAAACUGACGCUAAUACCGUAUAAUGUCUACGGACCAAAGAUUUAUCGCCCAGAGAUCAGCCCGCGUCUGAUUAGCUAGUUGGUGAGGUAACGGCUCACCAAGGCGACGAUCAGUAGCUGGUCUGAGAGGAUGAUCAGCCACACUGGAAAUGAGACACGGUCCAGACUCCUCCGGGAGGCAGCAGUGAGGAAGAUUGGACAAUGGGGGAAACCCUGAUCCGGCCAUGCCGCGUGUGUGAAGAAGGCCUUAGGGUUGUAAAGCACUUUCGGCUGUGAAGAUAAUGACAGUAGCAGAAGAAGAAGCUCCGGCUAAAUUCGUGCCAGCCGCCGCCGUAA
Molecule: ribosomal RNA, 447 nt
Filed under: uncultured bacterium
Lineage: Bacteria
Description: partial 16S ribosomal RNA
Rfam family: Bacterial small subunit ribosomal RNA
Source: RNAcentral